Molecule: long non-coding RNA, 287 nt
Organism: Thalassophryne amazonica
Lineage: Eukaryota; Metazoa; Chordata; Actinopteri; Batrachoidiformes; Batrachoididae
Exons: 3
Source: RefSeq, a predicted model, not a curated record
GCUGGGGGAGGUGUAUGUGGAUCGGGAGACCAUGGGCCAUCCCUUGGUUGUGCUGCUGUGGACUUGGACUGCUGGGGGUUUCCCAUGGUGCACUGAGUGUUUCUUUCUCUUUUUGCUCUGUGUGCGCCGCUCUGCGUUUGGUCGUUGGUGGUUGAUCUCUGCGAACCUCCGCGGCAUGUCUUUUUCCUGGUUCUCUCCCUCGGCCCCAGCCGGUCCCGGCGGGGGACUGCCCCUCCCUGGGCCUGGUUCUGCUGGAGGUUUCUUCCUGUUGGGGGGGAGGUUUUCCU